RNAcentral lists this ribosomal RNA (800 nucleotides) under uncultured bacterium. RNAcentral describes it as "bacterial SSU rRNA". It matches the Rfam family "Bacterial small subunit ribosomal RNA", at positions 84 to 870 of the family's 1533-position model. The record is from RNAcentral.
CCUCUGAUUCAGCGGCGGACGGGUGAGUAACACGUGGGCAACCUGCCUGUAAGACUGGGAUAACUUCGGGAAACCGGAGCUAAUACCGGAUAACUCAUGAGACCUCAUGGUCUUAUGAUAAAAGAUGGUUUCGGCUAUCACUUACAGAUGGGCCCGCGGCGCAUUAGCUAGUUGGUGAGGUAACGGCUCACCAAGGCGACGAUGCGUAGCCGACCUGAGAGGGUGAUCGGCCACACUGGGACUGAGACACGGCCCAGACUCCUACGGGAGGCAGCAGUAGGGAAUCUUCCGCAAUGGACGAAAGUCUGACGGAGCAACGCCGCGUGAGCGAUGAAGGCCUUCGGGUCGUAAAGCUCUGUUGUUAGGGAAGAACAAGUAUCAGUUAACUGCUGGUACCUUGACGGUACCUAACGAGAAAGCCACGGCUAACUACGUGCCAGCAGCCGCGGUAAUACGUAGGUGGCAAGCGUUGUCCGGAUUUAUUGGGCGUAAAGCGCGCGCAGGCGGUUCUUUAAGUCUGAUGUGAAAGCCCCCGGCUCAACCGGGGAGGGUCAUUGGAAACUGGGGAACUUGAGUGCAGAAGAGAAGAGCGGAAUUCCACGUGUAGCGGUGAAAUGCGUAGAGAUGUGGAGGAACACCAGUGGCGAAGGCGGCUCUUUGGUCUGUAACUGACGCUGAGGCGCGAAAGCGUGGGGAGCAAACAGGAUUAGAUACCCUGGUAGUCCACGCCGUAAACGAUGAGUGCUAAGUGUUGGAGGGUUUCCGCCCUUCAGUGCUGCAGCUAACGCAUUAAGCACUCC